This 2533-nucleotide unclassified non-coding RNA is filed under the name Daphnia pulex (common water flea). RNAcentral's name for it is "hrp65 protein-like, transcript variant X1". Lineage: Eukaryota; Metazoa; Arthropoda; Branchiopoda; Diplostraca; Daphniidae. The record is from RNAcentral.
UAGAAAUGCAGCGUAAACUUGGCAACAUUGCAAGCAUUUGUCAAUUCGUCGCCAUUUCGUUCUUUGGUGAGAAUUGUGGUUGUGCGUCUUGGAUAUUUUAAAUUAUAAAAUUCAUAAAUGGAUAUUAAGAAGAUGCAGAAACAGGAACCGCCUAUUUCCGAAAAAGUGAAUAAGGACAAUUCAGCACCGUCAAAUCCUGCUUCCAUUCCAUCUACACCUCAGAAUUCUGUAAAUGGUGGUGCCACUAAUGUUGGGAACAACAGUGGAAGAGGGAAGCGUGGAAGCGGUAGAGGUGGUGUAGGAAGAGGUGGACAAGGAGGAAGAAACAAUCAAGGCAACGGCAAGAAUGGGAAUGGUGCUGGACGAUUUCAGAGGAAUGCCAAUAAUAAUAAUCUUGGCCAAAACCAUACAGAGAAAAAGUGGGAAGACAAUUCCCACGGUAAUGGGCAUCAAAAAUUGUCUGAGGAUCGGCAGUUAUUAGAGAAACUUGCAACAUUAUCCAAUUCAACUGCUGAGCUUCCAAUUAGAUCCUUCACUGAAACCAAAUUUUCAGGUCGCAGCAGGUUAUAUGUCGGAAAUCUAGGCAAUGACAUAGUAGAGCAGGAUUUAAAAGAAUAUUUUUCUGCUUAUGGAGAAAUCGCUGAAGUAUUCCUAAACAAGGAAAAGGGAUUUGCUUUUGUCAGAUUGGACUAUCGUUCGAAUUCCGAAAAGGCUAAGCGCGAAUUGGAUGGCAAAGUUUUGAAAGGCCGCACAUUACGUGUUCGCUCCGCUCCGCAUAGUGCCGCUGUCCGCGUGAAAAACUUGUCUCCCUUCGUCACUAAUGAAUUACUAGAAAAAGCCUUUUCUAUAUUUGGAGAUAUUGAAAGAGCUAUCGUGGUUGCUAAUGAGCGUGGGCAGUCGACGAAUGAAGGUGUAGUCGAGUUCGUUCGUAAGCCAGGUGCCCAAGCAGCAAUUCGUCGCUGCACAGAUGGAUGUUUCUUCCUUACUUCGUCGUUACGACCUGUAGUGGUAGAGCCAAUGGAACAGUUAGACGAUGAGGAUGGAUUCUCAGAGCGUGCAUUUACUAAAAAGACGCCAGAAUUCUCGAAAGAGAGAGAAGCGGGGCCAAGAUUUGCUGAGCCCAACAGCUUUCAAUUCACUUACGGUCAACGUUGGAAACAAUUGCUCGAGCUGUACAAGCAAAAGAUGGAUGCUGUUGAGCGCGAACUGAAAAUUGAAGAAGAUAAGCUUGUUUCUCAGAUGGAGUAUGCUCGGUAUGAACAUGAAACAGAGCUUCUCCGCGAACAACUCAGACAGCGCGAACAGGAUCGGGAGAGGCAAAAACGUGACUGGGAAAUGAAAGAGCGUCAACACGAAGAAUCCCGAUUGCGGGAAGAAGAAACUCUUCGCCGACAACAGGACGAAAUGCAGCACCGAUUGCGUCAACAAGAAGACGAAAUGCGUCGUCGUCAACAAGAGAACACCAUGUUCAUGCAGGAGCAAAAUACAGAAGCGUCUCCCCCAGAUUUCCGUCGACCACUUCAGCCUCCCAUUUUUGAUCGCCCUAUGAUGGGUGGCAACGGACCUCACAAUCUCAUGGAUCUUCAAAUGAUAUUGCUCUCGACCUAAAUUGAAGUCACAAGAAGCAGCGAAAUUAUUCAUUGCAACUACAGUGGAUUCACUGAAGCAGAAAAUCCGCCAGUCCAUUAGCACAAUGGAAACUGGUUUUGGGAACCGACGGCACUCUUCAUUAUUUGUUGAGGUCUUGUCUAUUGCGUGAGCAGAUUCCGCUGGAGGAAAAAUGAACCUAUUGAAUGGAUUCGUCUUUCCGUUGGCGUGAAAGGCGGAUUGCACUGUCUGGAAAGGCUGACUCUGCUCCUGAGCGUUCCCAUUCAUCUCUCCUGGCAUCCUGACUAAAUAGAAAAAAUCCUUCCGCACCAUACGGAGGUAUAGACUGUGUUGGAAGUCGAGGCGCCGGUUUCUCUCCGUCAACUCAACCCAAAAGGACUAAGGGAAAAUCUAAUAGAAGGAAGACAAUGACGAAAGAACAAAGGAGCUUAAAUAAGGACUCCACGGGUAUAGCAAAUACCGAGAAAAAAAAAACAAAGAAGAAUCGAUUGGGCUUAGAUACAUCUCUUCCAGAAUUAUCUUUAUUUAUCCUAGAUGACAAGUUGUGUCGUUGCCUUUCCCUAAAUCAAACUAGAACGUCGUUGUUGGGACGAACGAGCUACAGGAAAAUAGGCAACCUGCAUUGGCUAGACCAAAGUAAUAGAAAACGUGAGCAAAAGAUUAGAAUGAGAACCAGCACCCCCUAGUGUAUAUGCUCCAUUAAGAUAUACGGGACAACUUAUUAUACUGGAGCGCGCGCCUACGCCAUGCCCUUAUUACGAAACCCCCUGUAAUUGUCCAGUAUCGAUUAAUUUUUCAAGCGCUCGUCAUCAUUCUCCGUUUUCUUCGUUCGCGCCUUUGCUAUAAGGUUACAGCAUGCAAUUUGUACCAACCUAUUGUGCUUCUCAAAAUGAAAUAAAGUAAAUCGGCGGCUAAAUCUCACAAA